This 67-nucleotide transfer RNA is filed under the name Phataginus tricuspis (Tree pangolin). RNAcentral's name for it is "Manis tricuspis (Tree pangolin) tRNA-Val". The record is from RNAcentral. Lineage: Eukaryota; Metazoa; Chordata; Mammalia; Pholidota; Manidae.
CAAAGUGUAGCUUAAAUAAAGCUCCUGGCCUACACCCAGAAGAUUCCGAUAACUACGGCCACUUUGA